CUGAACAACUUCGCUUUCGAGGUAACAAAGACCAACGCCUUGUGCGAAAAUAUGAAGGACCCGUCAACGUCCUUCAGAAGGUGGGCAAGACAUCCUAUAGGGUUCAACUACCCCCGUGGAUGAAAAUCCAUCCAGUAAUCCACGUGAGCAACUUGAAGUCUUACCACCCCGACACCGUCGACCCUACAUGAAACGAGGUAACCCGUCCAGCAGUCACGUUGACAAACAAGGUUGACAAAGAAGUUGAGUCAAUCCUCGCCGAGAGAACACGCCGAGUAGGAAGACCACGAAGAGACGUACAGGAAUUCCUAGUCAAGUGGAAAGGGCUCCCAAAUGAAGAGAUAAGUUGGGAGCGUACUGAAGACCUGAAGACAGCUGCGGCAGCAAUUAAAGAGUUCGAGCAGCGACAAUUGACGGGAAUGUCAACCAUUUAAGUGGGGGAGAAUGUCAUGGUCAUGCUUGUCCAGGAUCUGUUGCCUGUGGCCGCAUGCCCAUAACAACCUCUUUCCACAUACUUUUAUGCCAUGUAUUUAGUUUUACUUGUUAUUUUGUUUUCCUUGUACUUUUGGUGGCGAGUGACUCCUCGCAACUUUGCAUGUUCACGCCUGCCUAAGGUAAAAUGCUUUAUAAUCUACCUUAGGGGGUACACCUAGUCAUCCUCCCUACAUUGCGUUGUAUUCUUGUCUUGCCGCUAAUCUAUGCUCUUGCAUUCAAGCUUACAACAACUUUCUAAAAUGCUUUCAAACGUUUUCCAAAACCUUUUUCUCUAACCCCGUUUUCCAAAACCGUUUUUUCGAGAACGGGGGUGGAGGUUGCGACAUAUAGCCUUUGUGCCAUCGGCUAUUCGUUUCCGCAUUGGCUGACUUGCUAGAGGGUGAAAGCAAGUGCCGUACAAUCGCUUCGUGAGUCCUGUUAAAGUGCGAUUGUGACACUAUACAUCCAUUAUUUAUACUAAGAAUUGAGUAAACGCGGCAUGACUGAAGGAAGAUAAUUUGUGGCAAGAAUUUGUUGUAGUGUGUAAAGAUGAUUGCGAAUGCAAAUUCAGGCUUGUUGAGUUUUGGAGGUAAGGUUGCUGUCGAGUUGCUAGAAAAGUUGAGACUACCUUAUUGGUUUUUAACCCUUGCACUGUAAGUUUGCUGCUUUUCUGGAACAUUGUGGAGGUGGCCCUUUGACAAAAUUAUUUGCGUUCGAUAAAUGUCUCCCUAAGUGCAAAUUUUUACAGGUUUGGGACAAGCAUAAUCUUCUUCAAGAACAAGAUAAAGAAAUAGCAACUCGUAGGUCUUUCACGACUCCAAAGACGUCGACAAUUAGGAAUGCAACUAAUUGAUGGAUGAGCUUCGUUGUCGAGGUUGGUGUGUAGGGAACAUGUUUAAUUCUGUAAUUUUUUUAUUUGUGUUCAAGAAUACUAGUAUAUUCUAAAUUAAUAUAUUAGCUUCCUUGUUCA
This is a non-coding RNA of Momordica charantia (bitter melon), 1444 nucleotides long. NCBI's taxonomy places the organism in Eukaryota, Viridiplantae, Streptophyta, Magnoliopsida, Cucurbitales, Cucurbitaceae. The record is from RefSeq and is a predicted model, not a curated record.